RNAcentral lists this ribosomal RNA (727 nucleotides) under Analges beaucournui. RNAcentral's name for it is "partial large subunit ribosomal RNA". Lineage: Eukaryota; Metazoa; Arthropoda; Arachnida; Sarcoptiformes; Analgidae. The record is from RNAcentral.
GAUUUCGUAGGUAUUUUUAAUUUUGAUAUUUUUUUAAAAUAUUUACGGGGAGUAAUACGCUUUCGUUCUUUAAGGUAUCUAUUUUAGGUUUUAUUAAAAGGGAAAUCUUUUUAUAAUUUUUUUGUUUUUUAUCAUAAAUGUUUUUUUUAAAAGUAAGUUGUUGUGUAAUAACGUUUUUAUGGAUGCUUGUAUUAAAAGUAAAUUAGUUUAAUAAUUUUUUUUAUAAAUUAAUGGAUUAGUAGAAAGAAAAUAUUUUUUUUGGUUUUUUGUUUAUUGAGAAUUUUAAAUUAUUUUUAUUUACUGAUUUUUUCUUAGACUGGUUAAUAAAAUCUUAGCUACAAAAUUUGUAGUAAUUUCUGCUCUAUGCUGAAAAGUAAAUGGCUGUUAAAAUACACUAAGGUAGCAAAAUCAUUAGCUAUUUAAUUGGUAGCUUGUAUGAAUGAAUUUUCUAGGAAGAUAUUAAUUUUUUUCUUGAAUUUAUAAAUUUGUUGAAAAUAACAAAUUUUCCUAUAAGACUAAAAGACCCUAAAAUUUUUAUAAUUGUAAGAAAUUAUUUGGUUGGGGCAACAAUAAAAGGUUAACAUUAGGUGUUUUAUUUUUCUUUGAACUUUUUUUAAUGAUAGAAGGUAAAAUACUUUAGGGAUAACAGCUUAAUUAUUUUUAAAAGUUCUUAUUAUUAAAAUAGUUUUAGACCUCGAUGUUGGAUUGGGAUUACUUUUUGGGGCAG